AUGCAAGUCGAACGCACAGCGAAAGGUGCUUGCACCUUUCAAGUGAGUGGCGAACGGGUGAGUAACACGUGGACAACCUGCCUCAAGGCUGGGGAUAACAUUUGGAAACAGAUGCUAAUACCGAAUAAAACUUAGUGUCGCAUGACACAAAGUUAAAAGGCGCUUCGGCGUCACCUAAAGAUGGAUCCGCGGUGCAUUAGUUAGUUGGUGGGGUAAAGGCCUACCAAGACAAUGAUGCAUAGCCGAGUUGAGAGACUGAUCGGCCACAUUGGGACUGAGACACGGCCCAAACUCCUACGGGAGGCUGCAGUAGGGAAUCUUCCACAAUGGGCGAAAGCCUGAUGGAGCAACGCCGCGUGUGUGAUGAAGGCUUUCGGGUCGUAAAGCACUGUUGUAUGGGAAGAACAGCUAGAAUAGGAAAUGAUUUUAGUUUGACGGUACCAUACCAGAAAGGGACGGCUAAAUACGUGCCAGCAGCCGCGGUAAUACGUAUGUCCCGAGCGUUAUCCGGAUUUAUUGGGCGUAAAGCGAGCGCAGACGGUUUAUUAAGUCUGAUGUGAAAGCCCGGAGCUCAACUCCGGAAUGGCAUUGGAAACUGGUUAACUUGAGUGCAGUAGAGGUAAGUGGAACUCCAUGUGUAGCGGUGGAAUGCGUAGAUAUAUGGAAGAACACCAGUGGCGAAGGCGGCUUACUGGACUGCAACUGACGUUGAGGCU
This 716-nucleotide ribosomal RNA is filed under the name Leuconostoc mesenteroides. Its description in RNAcentral is "bacterial SSU rRNA". It matches the Rfam family "Bacterial small subunit ribosomal RNA", at positions 55 to 753 of the family's 1533-position model. Lineage: Bacteria; Bacillati; Bacillota; Bacilli; Lactobacillales; Lactobacillaceae. The record is from RNAcentral.